This 256-nucleotide ribosomal RNA is filed under the name uncultured bacterium. Its description in RNAcentral is "partial 16S ribosomal RNA". It matches the Rfam family "Bacterial small subunit ribosomal RNA", at positions 524 to 776 of the family's 1533-position model. The record is from RNAcentral.
GACGUAGGUGGCGAACGUUAUCCGGAAUUAUUGGGCGUAAAGGAUGCGUAGAUGGUGUAGUAAGUUAUCGGUGAUAAAUCGAGGCUCAACCUCGUGGAAGUCGGUAAUACUGUUAUGCUAGAGGAUAGGAGAGGUUAACGGAACUCCCUGUGGAGCGGUGAAAUGCGUAGAUAUAGGGAAGAACACCAAUAAAGGCGAAGGCAGUUAACUAUUCUAUUCCUGACAUUGAGGCAUGAAAGCGUGGGGAGCAAAACGG